AAUUUCUCAUGUUUAUGGUUAUUUUAACUUUUUAAAAACAAAUUCUAUAUAUUUUAUUCUGCAACUGAACAGUAUAUAUAGUGCUUUCGAAUCUUCUGGUCUUAAAGAUAUAAAGCUGUAUUUUCUGCAGAAUAGGGCAGUAUGCUGGAGGAAAUCAUAGAAAACUGGGAAGGAGACCUGCAGCCUCAGCGUCACCCUUCUGGAAUUUCUGUCUUCGCCUCAGGAAUGUUGCCAUCCAAUCCUUCAUUGUCUGGUGCAUGGAAAUGAUGUUUGGCUAAUGGGUCAAGCCACAGCACAGGUUAUUGUCACUGAUGCAAUGACAGAGAAAUGAAGGAGCAACAGAUGCACCAGCAAGUUCCAAACUAGUGGCGACCAGCAGCAUGUGCCAAGCAGGCUUCAUAAGACGAAGUCGCAGCUGAAGUUACCGUCAGGAUGCGCAGGAGUUUCAGGAGGGCCAGAGUUUAUUCUCCUUGAAGCCAUUUCCUCCAGAUAAGCAAGAACUGCAACAUGACCAGGCAACAGAGGAAAGGCAGGAGAGGAAAGAGCAGGAAUACACAGAUGAUGAAGAAACACCAUCAUGCGGUCUCACAUUCAUAGCCACAAGCUCAGACAGUGAUGCCAAGCGUAAUUUAGAGGAUAGUUUUCGAGGUGGGAUCUGCAUGUGGUGAGACACCAAGCAUGAGUGGCCUGUAUUCAAGGUUGGAAGCAAGAGUUGUGCAUGUGCCAGUUCUCCAGAAGGGAAAAAGAGAAAUGACGUUCAACAUAGACUUGCUCGAAGCAGAAGACUGGGGAUCGCCUUUGCAUGUGUCCAGAGAAGAAAAUCUGCAGUAAUGCUUAUAAAAACUGAUACCAAAAGGCAACAAAGGCAUUCAAAGUGAUUGAGCUUUACUAAGCCAUAAGAGCUAGCUUUCAAAGAAACACUCUUAACAAAGUGAGGAACAAGACAAACAGCAUUUGAUCAACACCACAAUCCACUGAUAUCUGAUUUUGUACCUGAUCAUUCUGCACUGAUUACAAUUAUGCCUUAACCCCGACUCCUGAAAAAUAAAAUGGUGUGUUAUUUCCAAUCUCC
Long non-coding RNA from Rhincodon typus (whale shark), 1072 nucleotides. RefSeq lists it as uncharacterized. The record is from RefSeq and is a predicted model, not a curated record. Lineage: Eukaryota; Metazoa; Chordata; Chondrichthyes; Orectolobiformes; Rhincodontidae. The transcript is spliced from 6 exons.